RNAcentral lists this ribosomal RNA (515 nucleotides) under Cellulomonas massiliensis. RNAcentral describes it as "bacterial SSU rRNA". It matches the Rfam family "Bacterial small subunit ribosomal RNA", at positions 352 to 877 of the family's 1533-position model. The record is from RNAcentral. Lineage: Bacteria; Bacillati; Actinomycetota; Actinomycetes; Micrococcales; Cellulomonadaceae.
CAGUGGGGAAUAUUGCACAAUGGGCGCAAGCCUGAUGCAGCGACGCCGCGUGAGGGAUGACGGCCUUCGGGUUGUAAACCUCUUUCAGCAGGGAAGAAGCGCAAGUGACGGUACCUGCAGAAGAAGCGCCGGCUAACUACGUGCCAGCAGCCGCGGUAAUACGUAGGGCGCAAGCGUUGUCCGGAAUUAUUGGGCGUAAAGAGCUCGUAGGCGGUUUGUCGCGUCUGCUGUGAAAACUCGAGGCUCAACCUCGGGCUUGCAGUGGGUACGGGCAGACUAGAGUGCGGUAGGGGUGACUGGAAUUCCUGGUGUAGCGGUGGAAUGCGCAGAUAUCAGGAGGAACACCGAUGGCGAAGGCAGGUCACUGGGCCGCAACUGACGCUGAGGAGCGAAAGCAUGGGGAGCGAACAGGAUUAGAUACCCUGGUAGUCCAUGCCGUAAACGUUGGGCACUAGGUGUGGGGCUCAUUCCACGAGUUCCGUGCCGCAGCAAACGCAUUAAGUGCCCCGCCUGGG